Molecule: transfer RNA, 72 nt
Filed under: Ailuropoda melanoleuca (giant panda)
Lineage: Eukaryota; Metazoa; Chordata; Mammalia; Carnivora; Ursidae
Also listed under: 1 other name
Rfam family: tRNA
About the family: Transfer RNA (tRNA) molecules are approximately 80 nucleotides in length. Their secondary structure includes four short double-helical elements and three loops (D, anti-codon, and T loops).
Source: Rfam by way of RNAcentral
GCCUGGCUGGCUCAGUCAGCAGAGCAUGUGACUCUUGAUCUCAGGGUUGUAGGUUCGAGCCCACGUUGGGUG